CAGCUGUGUUUUACGCAAACGGAGUAUCCCAAGUUUAAGCGGAUGACGUGUCAGCGACUUCUGUUGAAGCAGGAAGAGUAUGCUCAGUACACGUCGGAGCCGAUGUCGGAGCACGUGGUGAAGCUGCAGGAGGGCCGCCUGACGGCCGGCCUGGUCGAGAUGAUGGCGCUGGCUGACAUCACCAGGUACGACUUCUGGGUGUACAAGGACAUCGACCAGCCGCCGACCAAUGUGACCAACCGCG
Molecule: long non-coding RNA, 244 nt
Organism: Pollicipes pollicipes
Lineage: Eukaryota; Metazoa; Arthropoda; Thecostraca; Pollicipedomorpha; Pollicipedidae
Exons: 3
Source: RefSeq, a predicted model, not a curated record